RNAcentral lists this transfer RNA (74 nucleotides) under Saccharicrinis carchari. It matches the Rfam family "tRNA". Rfam says of the family: Transfer RNA (tRNA) molecules are approximately 80 nucleotides in length. Their secondary structure includes four short double-helical elements and three loops (D, anti-codon, and T loops). RNAcentral also lists the same sequence under 13 other names. Lineage: Bacteria; Pseudomonadati; Bacteroidota; Bacteroidia; Marinilabiliales; Marinilabiliaceae. The record is from Rfam by way of RNAcentral.
CGGGAUGUGGCGCAGUCUGGUAGCGUACUCGUCUGGGGGGCGAGGGGUCGCAAGUUCAAAUCUUGUCAUCCCGA